This 2235-nucleotide ribosomal RNA is filed under the name Salmonella enterica. RNAcentral's name for it is "bacterial LSU rRNA". It matches the Rfam family "Bacterial large subunit ribosomal RNA", at positions 594 to 2812 of the family's 2925-position model. Lineage: Bacteria; Pseudomonadati; Pseudomonadota; Gammaproteobacteria; Enterobacterales; Enterobacteriaceae. RNAcentral also lists the same sequence under 1 other name. The record is from RNAcentral.
UGACUGCGUACCUUUUGUAUAAUGGGUCAGCGACUUAUAUUCUGUAGCAAGGUUAACCGAAUAGGGGAGCCGGAGGGAAACCGAGUCUUAACCGGGCGUUAAGUUGCAGGGUAUAGACCCGAAACCCGGUGAUCUAGCCAUGGGCAGGUUGAAGGUUGGGUAACACUAACUGGAGGACCGAACCGACUAAUGUUGAAAAAUUAGCGGAUGACCUGUGGCUGGGGGUGAAAGGCCAAUCAAACCGGGAGAUAGCUGGUUCUCCCCGAAAGCUAUUUAGGUAGCGCCUCGUGAAUUCAUCUCCGGGGGUAGAGCACUGUUUCGGCUAGGGGGCCAUCCCGGCUUACCAACCCGAUGCAAACUGCGAAUACCGGAGAAUGUUAUCACGGGAGACACACGGCGGGUGCUAACGUCCGUCGUGAAGAGGGAAACAACCCAGACCGCCAGCUAAGGUCCCAAAGUCAUGGUUAAGUGGGAAACGAUGUGGGAAGGCCCAGACAGCCAGGAUGUUGGCUUAGAAGCAGCCAUCAUUUAAAGAAAGCGUAAUAGCUCACUGGUCGAGUCGGCCUGCGCGGAAGAUGUAACGGGGCUAAACCAUGCACCGAAGCUGCGGCAGCGACACUCAGGUGUUGUUGGGUAGGGGAGCGUUCUGUAAGCCUGCGAAGGUGGCCUGUGAGGGUUGCUGGAGGUAUCAGAAGUGCGAAUGCUGACAUAAGUAACGAUAAAGCGGGUGAAAAGCCCGCUCGCCGGAAGACCAAGGGUUCCUGUCCAACGUUAAUCGGGGCAGGGUGAGUCGACCCCUAAGGCGAGGCCGAAAGGCGUAGUCGAUGGGAAACGGGUUAAUAUUCCCGUACUUGGUGUUACUGCGAAGGGGGGACGGAGAAGGCUAUGUUGGCCGGGCGACGGUUGUCCCGGUUUAAGCGUGUAGGUGUGUGUUCCAGGUAAAUCCGGUUCACUUUAACACUGAGGCGUGAUGACGAGGCACUACGGUGCUGAAGCAACAAAUGCCCUGCUUCCAGGAAAAGCCUCUAAGCAUCAGGUAACAUCAAAUCGUACCCCAAACCGACACAGGUGGUCAGGUAGAGAAUACCAAGGCGCUUGAGAGAACUCGGGUGAAGGAACUAGGCAAAAUGGUGCCGUAACUUCGGGAGAAGGCACGCUGACACGUAGGUGAAGUGAUUUACUCAUGGAGCUGAAGUCAGUCGAAGAUACCAGCUGGCUGCAACUGUUUAUUAAAAACACAGCACUGUGCAAACACGAAAGUGGACGUAUACGGUGUGACGCCUGCCCGGUGCCGGAAGGUUAAUUGAUGGGGUCAGCGCAAGCGAAGCUCCUGAUCGAAGCCCCGGUAAACGGCGGCCGUAACUAUAACGGUCCUAAGGUAGCGAAAUUCCUUGUCGGGUAAGUUCCGACCUGCACGAAUGGCGUAAUGAUGGCCAGGCUGUCUCCACCCGAGACUCAGUGAAAUUGAACUCGCUGUGAAGAUGCAGUGUACCCGCGGCAAGACGGAAAGACCCCGUGAACCUUUACUAUAGCUUGACACUGAACAUUGAGCCUUGAUGUGUAGGAUAGGUGGGAGGCUUUGAAGUGUGGACGCCAGUCUGCAUGGAGCCGGCCUUGAAAUACCACCCUUUAAUGUUUGAUGUUCUAACGUGGACCCGUGAUCCGGGUUGCGGACAGUGUCUGGUGGGUAGUUUGACUGGGGCGGUCUCCUCCUAAAGAGUAACGGAGGAGCACGAAGGUUGGCUAAUCCUGGUCGGACAUCAGGAGGUUAGUGCAAUGGCAUAAGCCAGCUUGACUGCGAGCGUGACGGCGCGAGCAGGUGCGAAAGCAGGUCAUAGUGAUCCGGUGGUUCUGAAUGGAAGGGCCAUCGCUCAACGGAUAAAAGGUACUCCGGGGAUAACAGGCUGAUACCGCCCAAGAGUUCAUAUCGACGGCGGUGUUUGGCACCUCGAUGUCGGCUCAUCACAUCCUGGGGCUGAAGUAGGUCCCAAGGGUAUGGCUGUUCGCCAUUUAAAGUGGUACGCGAGCUGGGUUUAGAACGUCGUGAGACAGUUCGGUCCCUAUCUGCCGUGGGCGCUGGAGAACUGAGGGGGGCUGCUCCUAGUACGAGAGGACCGGAGUGGACGCAUCACUGGUGUUCGGGUUGUCAUGCCAAUGGCACUGCCCGGUAGCUAAAUGCGGAAGAGAUAAGUGCUGAAAGCAUCUAAGCACGAAACUUGCCCCGAGAUGAGUUCU